CAAACUACCCAUCCCAUCUCUCGCGAGAAAAAUUCCCUAUCGCCGUCCAGAUCGGAGAUCACCUCGGCCUCCUCCACCACGCGCCCGCUUCCUCCCAUGGUCGUGUCCUCCCGACCCACCCUCCUCUUCGCUCACCACGCCGGCGCAGGUGGUCACGCGGGCGUCCAUUGAUCUGCAACUCUCACCGCCUUCAUAACGCUCAAGCGCCGCCCACGGAUAGACGAUGGCUUCAGCCGUGUCAACGAGGUCGAGGAGUCCCUUGACCUAGCCCUUGACCUCACCUUCGUCGGAGGCCUCGCCCAUCUCGAUGGGGCCGGUUACUUAUCUCUCGGGGAUGCCCUGCCCUCCCCUGGCGUGCUGGGGACCGAUGAUGCCCUGCCUUCCCCUGGCGUGCUGGGGAUCUGGUGGCGCCCGUCGAACGUCGAGAGGUGGCACAGCCCCGCCACACACUUGUUCCUCCUCCUCAGGAUCCUCAAUUCCUCAUCUAAAAGCUGUGAUAUUUCCCUCCUUCAUGGAUGUAUGGAACUGCGUGAAUGGGACAGCGAAGCCACUGUCAUGAAACUUGCAGAAUGAUGACAGAGAUAUCGAAAGAUUUUCUAAAAUGAGUAUGGAGAUGACAAGAUCGAAAAGGACGGUGAUAUAAGGAAAGCGGGGAGUGGAGGAGGAAGAAAGUUGGGAUGCCAAUUAUAAAUAGGUUAAUACUUCAAAUCUUUAUGCACUAAGGUAUUCUUUGUGUUAGAAAUAAUUGUUUAAAAGGCUCAUGAUUUUGGCGAAACUGUAUGAUGUAUGUGUGUUCCUUCACAUGGACAAAUAUGAAAGGGUACCCAUUAUGAAAUCAUAGACCAGUGAUGUAUCAUUUCUUUGUCUUUCUUAUUGCAAAUAUGGCUCACAGGGCCGCGCUCUCAUUUGAUUUUGAUGAUGAUGAUGAUGAUGAUGAUGAUGAUGAUUGGAACCAAGAGGAGGAAGCAAGCAGGAGCCAAGAACAUCUGUGUGAUAUGGAAGCUCUUAACAAUGGUUAGCGUAUGGUUCGCAAGUUAUUUCUCUGGUUCAUCUCAAAUUGAGCGUCUUGAUACUUCAUAUGAAUAUUUGGUUGUAACAAAUUGUUUUCCGCAAGUCACAAUUUUUUGUAUGCAAGAAAUAUGUAUAAAAUUCCUCAAAGCAUUGUAGAUAAGCAGCUUCAUAUGUCUGAGUGUCUGAUAUGCCUUUCUUUUUCUGUUUUUCCUGCCAGAAAGAAAGCAAGUGACCUAUUUAAUCUCAGAGAUAUGUCCCAUUAUCAGUUUUGAGGAGUCAUUGUUCCAGUCACACAAAAUGUUGACAGAUGUAUCAUUUACAAUGACCAUUCAAUUGUAAUUUCAGUGCCAUGUCAUAAAAUUUCAAUUCACCAGUUCAACCCCUUCCAUAAGAUAUUGGAUCAACAGUUGGAAGUGAAUCGUGCAAUACAUCACUCUAAUAUUAGUUAUAAUCGGCUGACCAUGUAGGAUGUACCGCUUGUGAUGUAUUACACUCCAUAUCUCCUUACAAUUUGUAGCGUGAAAUUUUUAUUCCUCUCAUUUGUCCAUUUUUUUGUUCUAUCUCUUAAACUGGUGAAUAGGAAGUUAUGUUGUU
Long non-coding RNA from Triticum dicoccoides, 1605 nucleotides. RefSeq lists it as uncharacterized. The record is from RefSeq and is a predicted model, not a curated record. The transcript has 5 exons. Lineage: Eukaryota; Viridiplantae; Streptophyta; Magnoliopsida; Poales; Poaceae.